This 351-nucleotide ribosomal RNA is filed under the name uncultured bacterium. RNAcentral's name for it is "partial 16S ribosomal RNA". It matches the Rfam family "Bacterial small subunit ribosomal RNA", at positions 338 to 686 of the family's 1533-position model. The record is from RNAcentral.
CCUACGGGAGGCAGCAGUGAGGAAUAUUGGUCAAUGGGCGCGAGCCUGAACCAGCCAAGUAGCGUGAAGGAUGACUGCCCUACGGGUUGUAAACUUCUUUUAUCAAGGAAUAAAGUGAGGCACGUGUGCCUUUUUGUAUGUACUUUAUGAAUAAGGAUCGGCUAACUCCGUGCCAGCAGCCGCGGUAAUACGGAGGAUCCGAGCGUUAUCCGGAUUUAUUGGGUUUAAAGGGAGCGGAGAUGGGUUGUUAAGUCAGUUGUGAAAGUUUGCGGCUAAACCGGAAAAGUUCAAUUGAUACUGGCGGUCUUGAGUACAGGGGAGGUAGGCGGAAUUCGUGGGUGAGAGGUGAAA